This 245-nucleotide ribosomal RNA is filed under the name uncultured bacterium. Its description in RNAcentral is "partial 16S ribosomal RNA". It matches the Rfam family "Bacterial small subunit ribosomal RNA", at positions 65 to 334 of the family's 1533-position model. The record is from RNAcentral.
UACGAACGGAUCCUUCGGGAUUAGUGGCGGACGGGUGAGUAACACGUGGGAACGUGCCCUUUGGUUCGGAACAACUCAGGGAAACUUGAGCUAAUACCGGAUGUGCCCUUCGGGGGAAAGAUUUAUCGCCAUUGGAGCGGCCCGCGUCUGAUUAGCUAGUUGGUGGGGUAAAGGCCCACCAAGGCGACGAUCAGUAGCUGGUCUGAGAGGAUGAUCAGCCACAUUGGGACUGAGACACGGCCCAA